This is a regulatory RNA element of Neomicrococcus aestuarii, 111 nucleotides long. It matches the Rfam family "mraW RNA". Lineage: Bacteria; Bacillati; Actinomycetota; Actinomycetes; Micrococcales; Micrococcaceae. The record is from Rfam.
GCCGAUCGGUGCAGCUGGGUCUCCAGCCGCUCUGCUAGUGCCUGACCUCACUUCCCCGAGGCCAGGACGAACGCACUGCGGAGGGGGACCCAGUUGCAUCGAAAGCCUCUU